Non-coding RNA from Podospora didyma, 86 nucleotides. NCBI's taxonomy places the organism in Eukaryota, Fungi, Ascomycota, Sordariomycetes, Sordariales, Podosporaceae. The record is from the annotation of a GenBank genome assembly.
UUCCAUAUAGUGUAGUGGUUUAGCAUACCAGAUUUUCAUCUACUGAUAAAUCUCUGGCGACCCGGGUUCGAACCCCGGUAUGGAAG